Sus scrofa (pig) is the source of this 1011-nucleotide long non-coding RNA. RefSeq lists it as uncharacterized. Lineage: Eukaryota; Metazoa; Chordata; Mammalia; Artiodactyla; Suidae. The record is from RefSeq and is a predicted model, not a curated record.
GUGCGUGACGUCAGGACAGCGGCGGAGCCGGCCAAACUCAAGUUGGUUCUGAGAAUUGUCAACAAAGGAACGAGGGACACGCAACUCUGCGCCGCACCGUGCGCUAGCAUCCCGCGGGUCCCGAGGGCGUCCCGGCACACCCCGAGACCCUAUCCUAGGCUGGAACCCAGCGCGGGGGUCGAGGGGGCCUGUGGGUCGUCAUCUGGGGUUCCCGAAGGUCAGAAAAUGGCUAUUGAUUAAUCUAUUGGAAUAGUUGCCGACAGAAAUAAAAAAAAGACGUAAAAUUACAGGGAACCUAUAAAUAAAGAAGCCGUAACUAGCUGCUCGGAGUUGUUAAACGACUUAGCAUGUGAAAAAGUCGGGAAUGAGGCGCUGGGGAAGGAGCCGGGAUUGGCAGCGGCCUGGGGCGUAGAUAAACUCUCCAAGAUUUAACUUCCGCAGAAACCAGCAGCAGAGGGGGCGGAGGAGGAGGCGAGGACGCGGCCGGUGCACACCGAGUUCCUCUGCCAAGGAAAGUCAGUGAUGGCCGCCUCCUUAUGAGCCACGAGUGCCUGCCAGGUGUGGUGGGCUCCUGAAACUCAAGCCCAGUCUGGCCGCUGAGGCCUGGAAGGGAAAUGCGGGCCUCUCCAGAGGAAGGAGCGCAAGUGGAAAUGGUCCGAGAGGAAAUAAUUAAUGAAAUAUUUACAGGAGACACUAGCUGCACCGCUUUGUGGCCCGCAGGCUCAGGACCGUUUACAAUACUAUGUAGACAGCCUCUCUCGAAACCGACCAGAGCGGCGAGCUGGCUGCCCACUGUCCCCCGGCAGCAGAGGUUCUGGCUGCAACUGUCCCCAGCAAGCUAAUAAUUACAACAGAAAGGUCGGAAGAACAAGAGAAAGAAACUGAAAUUCACAAAUUCAGAAAUUCCUUUUGCUCAGCUUUGGGUAUCUAGCGCCAGUAGCAGGUGCGGGCCGCAUCGGGAGCCCCAGAGCAUCCUAGGAGGCUGGGCUGGCGUGGGUGUGUGUGUGUGUG